This 63-nucleotide transfer RNA is filed under the name Olidiana sp. 15062716. Its description in RNAcentral is "tRNA-Ser". Lineage: Eukaryota; Metazoa; Arthropoda; Insecta; Hemiptera; Cicadellidae. The record is from RNAcentral.
AAAGAGAUAUAUAAAGAAAUAGCUGCUAACUAAUUUCUAAGCGAAAUACACGUUUAUCUCUUA